CCAUCUUGAGUCGACUAUCUAAUAUUUUAAAAUUUUAAUUUUACUAUUCAAUUUUUUAAUUUGUUUGAUUUGAGUUAGUCAGCGAUAUUUUGACUUCAAAGUUAAGCUCAUUGCUUACCUUUAUUAAAUUUAUAGUUACAAGAAUUGCAUGAAGUAUACUAACUAAAUAUGUAAAAAUAGACAUUAACGCAUUCAAAUUUUAAAGUUAAAAUGAUGUUGACUGAC
RNAcentral lists this long non-coding RNA (225 nucleotides) under Ananas comosus (pineapple). RNAcentral's name for it is "long non-coding RNA (ACOM_LNC029779)". The record is from RNAcentral. Lineage: Eukaryota; Viridiplantae; Streptophyta; Magnoliopsida; Poales; Bromeliaceae.